Molecule: ribosomal RNA, 484 nt
Filed under: uncultured bacterium
Lineage: Bacteria
Description: partial 16S ribosomal RNA
Rfam family: Bacterial small subunit ribosomal RNA
Source: RNAcentral
AUUGAACGCUGGCGGCAGGCCUAACACAUGCAAGUCGAGCGGAUGAAGGGAGCUUGCUCCUGGAUUCAGCGGCGGACGGGUGAGUAAUGCCUAGGAAUCUGCCUGGUAGUGGGGGAUAACGUCCGGAAACGGGCGCUAAUACCGCAUACGUCCUGAGGGAGAAAGUGGGGGAGCUUCGGACCUCACGCUAUCAGAUGAGCCUAGGUCGGAUUAGCUAGUUGGUGGGGUAAAGGCCUACCAAGGCGACGAUCCGUAACUGGUCUGAGAGGAUGAUCAGUCACACUGGAACUGAGACACGGUCCAGACUCCUACGGGAGGCAGCAGUGGGGAAUAUUGGACAAUGGGCGAAAGCAUGAUCCAGCCAUGCCGCGUGUGUGAAGAAGGUCUUCGGAUUGUAAAGCCCUUUAAGUUGGGAGGAAGGGCAGUAAGUUAAUACCUUGCUGUUUUGACGUUACCAACAGAAUAAGCACCGGCUAACUUCGUG